This 425-nucleotide unclassified non-coding RNA is filed under the name soil metagenome. RNAcentral describes it as "partial contains 5.8S ribosomal RNA, internal transcribed spacer 2, and large subunit ribosomal RNA". The stretch from base 1 to 120 matches the Rfam family "5.8S ribosomal RNA", at positions 35 to 154 of the family's 154-position model. The record is from RNAcentral.
GAUGAAGAACGCAGCGAAAUGCGAUAAGUAGUGUGAAUUGCAGGAUUCCGUGAAUCAUCGAAUCUUUGAACGCACAUUGCGCCUUCUGGUAUUCCGGAAGGCAUGCCUGUUCGAGAGUCAUUAACAACCGUUUCGAUCCCUUUCUUUCAGAAAUUACAAAGAGGAAAAGGGUUUGGUUAUGGUGGAGGAGGGAAAGGGAGCGUUUAGCCUGUAAAAAAAGAGGCUGUGUUCCGCCUCCCCCCCAAAAUUGUACAGGCGGUCGUGUGCGCCCACGCAUCGAGGUGUUGUAAAAGCUGCCACGGCACUUUUCACCUGUGCAGUGCGAGAUUGGCCAGCCGGUUUAAAAACCCCUCCAAACAAUCAAAGGUUGACCUCGGAUCAGGUAGGGAUACCCGCUGAACUUAAGCAUAUCAAUAAGCGGAGGA